Molecule: ribosomal RNA, 253 nt
Filed under: uncultured bacterium
Lineage: Bacteria
Description: partial 16S ribosomal RNA
Rfam family: Bacterial small subunit ribosomal RNA
Source: RNAcentral
GACAGAGGGGGCAAGCGUUGCUCGGAAUUACUGGGCGUAAAGGGCGCGUAGGCGGGAUGGCAAGUCGGUCGUGAAAUCCUUCGGCUCAACCGAAGAACGUCGAUCGAUACUGCUGUUUUUGAGGGUUGCAGAGGAGACUGGAAUUUACGGUGUAGCGGUGAAAUGCGUAGAUAUCGUAAGGAAGACCAGUGGCGAAGGCGGGUCUCUGGACAGUUCCUGACGCUGAGGCACGAAGGCCAGGGGAGCAAACGGG